ACUAUUGUAUGUCUUUUUCAUUAGUCAAGCUGUUCAGCUGACCUUAGGUGCUUCAUGUUUGCCUAGGUGGAAAACGCCUUGUUCCAGUUGGCCUCGGAGACGAUGAUCAAUGCAUUGAGGAUGACUUCAAUGCAUGGAAAGAAGCUCUCUGGCCAGAGUUGGAUCGUUUACUUCGUGAUGAAAAUGAUGUCUCCACAGGCACUACUUACAUAGCUGCUAUUCCUGAAUACCGGGUUGAAUUCAUCAAGCCUGAGCAGGCAGUUCAUUUGGAGA
Panicum virgatum (switchgrass) is the source of this 273-nucleotide long non-coding RNA. RefSeq lists it as uncharacterized. NCBI's taxonomy places the organism in Eukaryota, Viridiplantae, Streptophyta, Magnoliopsida, Poales, Poaceae. The record is from RefSeq and is a predicted model, not a curated record. The transcript has 2 exons.